This is a long non-coding RNA of Brienomyrus brachyistius, 675 nucleotides long. RefSeq lists it as uncharacterized. The record is from RefSeq and is a predicted model, not a curated record. The transcript has 2 exons. Lineage: Eukaryota; Metazoa; Chordata; Actinopteri; Osteoglossiformes; Mormyridae.
AGCAGAAUUUGGCCUCUGACGUUCAUCUGCAAAAUGACAAAAGUCAGCAGUGGUCAGCUUCACAGUACACGAUUCAGCUUGUGGAGUCUUAUACAUAGAGGCCAUCUAGCUAAGACCCCAGAACACCCCCCAACUGAAGAGCAGGACUCGCACCCUCAGUCAGCUUGUCUGCAACCAUGGCAUCCUCUGGUGUUUCAUCAUUCUGAGGUUUGGUCACCACCAUGGAGGUAAGUGGAGUCACAAAGUUGUAACGCAGGGACAGCGCCAGGGCUUCAGCCGUCGCAUUAGCCUUCUCCUCCACCUUGCCACUCUCCCUGUGAAGACAAAUUCCCAGACAAGAGCAUCCAUGAUUACUCUGCCUCCUCAUGUAUGCAUGCAUGACAUGGAAAUUUGGUGGUUUAAUAUUCCUUAACUGGAUACCAAAGACACCAGAGACAGGGCUAGUAGAAAAAUUCAAAAGGCAUACUCUAGUAAACAACACUAGAAUUUUAUCAGAUUGGCAUAUUAUACUGCCAUGGCAAUGACAUUCAGCUCAACCUUUUGACAAGCAACUGCUGAAUAGAAAUAUAUGCCCAAAGACGCUCAGUGAAGUCUCCGAAGAUGUAUUCCUUUUCUGGAAAGAUGAUAUUCCAAUCCUCAGCACUUGCUUGACCCUGGAACUUUAUGUCAUUCACC